GUGCUCACUUUGGCAGCGCAUAUGCUAAAAUUGGAACAAUACAGAGAAGAUUAGCAUGGCCCUUGCACAAGGAUGACACACAAAUUUGUGAAGCAUUUCAUAUUUUU
This is a small nuclear RNA of Neofelis nebulosa (Clouded leopard), 107 nucleotides long. The record is from RefSeq and is a predicted model, not a curated record. Lineage: Eukaryota; Metazoa; Chordata; Mammalia; Carnivora; Felidae.